GUGGCCGCUGUGUGUUUCCUCCUCAGGUUUCCAGGAGGAUAAAGAGAGUCACUCAUCGUGACCGUCAGUCCAUCAGCUUUAGUCCAGGAAACGUCUCUGUCGCACAGAGUUUCUCUGUGUUUUAAGUUUCCUGAAGGAAGAGGCGAGCGAGACAAAAGGUGAAGGAUGACGUUUGUUAACACCAUGUGGAAGAGAAGAAGAGAAGGGGGUGACGAUCCGGAGAUGGUGGACGAGUUUACAGUGAAGGUGAAGGCCAGAGAAAGAGAGGGAUGAUGGGAAAUCUGGUUUGGCGAGGGCUUAACCGGAAACCAGCUGGAUCCAAAAGGACGCUCCUCCCGGCUGCACAGAUGGACCAUGGGAAACAAAAUGGUUGGAUGUUUGGGCCGGCAUCUCCUGAAGAGAGGAGAAAGAAAGAAGAUGUUAGCAGAGCUGCAAAUAUCAGUUGUUUUCAUUUUAAGAGGAAUUACGACUGACGACGACCAACGUGACUAGAGACUGACCUACAACUCACAACUAGCCAGUGACUUAACGACUAGCCAGUGACUUACGACUGAUGACAACUCACGAGAUUAGCGAGUGACUGACGACUCAUGCGACUAGUAAGUGACUUAAUGACUCGCGUGUGACUGAGUCACAAUGCAUAACGACUCACGACAACUCACGUGACUAGCCAGUGACUUAACGACUUGCAUGUGACUAACAAGUCACAACGACUCCCGCUGACUACCGAGUGACUAACCACUCACGACGAUUUAUGGGACUAGCGAGCGACUCAACGACUGACGACGCAUGCAACUAGCGAUUGACUUAAUGACUCUCAACGACUUGCGUGACUAACGAGUCACGACGACUCACAUGAUUAGCCAGUGACUUAACAACUCACAUGACUUCACAACUCACGUGACUGGACGACUCACACUGCUAGCGAGGGACUUACAACUCACAUGAGUAGUGAUGACUCACAACGACUAGUGAGUGAUUAAUGACAACUCGUGUGACUAGUCAAUGACUCACAACAAUUCACGUGACUAGUGAGUACCUACCGAGUCACGUAACUACCGACUCAUGUGACUAUCGAGUGACCAAUGAGUCACGUCACUAGCAAGUGACUUAACGACUAGCGUGACUACAAUAAUGUAAAUAAGUUGCCAAAUAAUUAUUCAAUGUAACGCUGGCUAGUGUACAUUCCAUAACAACCGCCGUUCCAUAGCAACCGCCGUCCCAUAGCAACCGCCUCAGCAUGUAUCAGCAGGAGGGCUUUUAUUAUUGUUAACAAUAUUAAUAAAAAAAUAUAUAUAAAUUCAAAUGUACCAACAUACCACGGCCUGAAGUGAACUAUUGCUUAAAUCUGCAUCAACACGCACAUCUCCUCUCCUAACAAACCACACCCAUACAUGAAUUUCUGCACCAUAUCAAUCCCCAACAUGCAAAUACAGUCUGUCCUAUUUAUAAGCCUGUUGUUCUGCCACACUUGUCUACACUGUAUAACCUGUUAUGUUUUGUUUUGCUUCACCAACUUCAAGAAAGGAGAGAGAAUUACUUUCAGAAAAUGACUCAUGCAUCUGGUAUUUAUCAGGUAACUGACUACUUGUUAGCGUGAGUUUAAUUUAAAGGGUCACAAGAGUUCGUUAAAAUUAACAUUAAAUUUAGAAAAACAAUCCUAAAGAUGAGACAUGGGGAGUGUUUCUAUUAACGUGGCUAAAGUUAAAACUGACUUCAAAUAUCCAGAUAGAUCCUGAUAUCUGUUUGAGUUCAGCCGAUUUCAAUGUUGGAAAUUGGGUUUCCUAAAUCUCCAGUAAGUUAAACACACAAUUAAAAAAACUGAAGCAGGUUUGUUUGAUACUCUAUUUAUUUAUUGAUUAUCUAUUACAUUUCCAUUCAUACUGUAUAAUUUAUUUAUAAUAUAAUAGCUGCUGCACCUUCCUUUAUUCUACAUAUGUACCGUAUACAUUGUUUCUACUUUUACUUUAUAUAUGUAUAUAGAGUAUGCAUAUAUUUUUACUAUGUCUACUGAGCAUCUUAGCCUCAAAAUGAAAGCCCUUGAAUAUGAAUAAAGUUCUGUUAUUU
Sebastes umbrosus (honeycomb rockfish) is the source of this 2067-nucleotide long non-coding RNA. RefSeq lists it as uncharacterized. The record is from RefSeq and is a predicted model, not a curated record. The transcript has 2 exons. NCBI's taxonomy places the organism in Eukaryota, Metazoa, Chordata, Actinopteri, Perciformes, Sebastidae.